Molecule: ribosomal RNA, 419 nt
Filed under: bacterium
Lineage: Bacteria
Description: partial 16S ribosomal RNA
Rfam family: Bacterial small subunit ribosomal RNA
Source: RNAcentral
UGGGGGAUAUUGCACAAUGGGCGAAAGCCUGAUGCAGCGACGCCGCGUGGGGGAUGAAGGCCUUCGGGUUGUAAACUUCUUUUGCUCUGAACAAGGCGCACCAUGGGGUGUGUUGAGUGUAGGGGUUGAUUAGCGCCGGCUAACUACGUGCCAGCAGCCGCGGUAAUACGUAGGGCGCGAGCGUUGUCCGGAAUUAUUGGGCGUAAAGGGCUUGUAGGUGGCUGGUUGCGUCUGUCGUGAAAGCUCAUGGCUUAACUGUGGGUUUGCGGUGGGUACGGGCUGGCUUGAGUGCAGUAGGGGAGGCUGGAAUUCCUGGUGUAGCGGUGGAAUGCGCAGAUAUCAGGGGGAAUACCGGUGGCGAAGGCGGGUCUCUGGGCUGUUACUGACACUGAGGAGCGAAAGCAUGGGGAGCGAACAGG